GGGCGAUUAGCUCAGUUGGUUAGAGCAACGGUUUUACACACCGUAGGUCGGGGGUUCGAAUCCCUCAUCGCCCA
This 74-nucleotide transfer RNA is filed under the name Spirochaetota bacterium. Its description in RNAcentral is "Spirochaetes bacterium tRNA-Val". It matches the Rfam family "tRNA". Rfam says of the family: Transfer RNA (tRNA) molecules are approximately 80 nucleotides in length. Their secondary structure includes four short double-helical elements and three loops (D, anti-codon, and T loops). The record is from RNAcentral. Lineage: Bacteria; Pseudomonadati; Spirochaetota.